UACGAAGGGGGCUAGCGUUGUUCGGAAUUACUGGGCGUAAAGGGCGCGUAGGCGGUACUUCAAGUCAGGCGUGAAAGCCCCGGGCUCAACCUGGGAACCGCGCUUGAGACUGGAGAACUAGAGUUCGGGAGAGGAUGGUGGAAUUCCCAGUGUAGAGGUGAAUUUCGUAGAUAUUGGGAAGAACACCGAUGGCGAAGGCAGCCAUCUGGACCGACACUGACGCUGAGGCGCGAAAGCGUGGGGAGCAAACAGG
Molecule: ribosomal RNA, 253 nt
Filed under: uncultured bacterium
Lineage: Bacteria
Description: partial 16S ribosomal RNA
Rfam family: Bacterial small subunit ribosomal RNA
Source: RNAcentral